RNAcentral lists this ribosomal RNA (513 nucleotides) under Triticum aestivum (bread wheat). Its description in RNAcentral is "partial small subunit ribosomal RNA". The record is from RNAcentral. Lineage: Eukaryota; Viridiplantae; Streptophyta; Magnoliopsida; Poales; Poaceae.
AUGCCAAAGAGGAAAGGAGGAUUGUGGUUCAGAGACCUACACAAUUUUAAUCUUGCUUUACUAGCAAAACAGUGUUGGCGACUACUCCAGAAUCCAGAAUCGUUGUGUGCUCAAGUUCUUAGUGCUAAAUAUUAUCCUGAUGGGAAUAUAUUGAAUGCAGGGCCGAAGAAGGGUUCAUCUUUCACUUGGCAGAGUAUUGUUGCGGGUAUCCAAAUGUUUAAAAGAGGAUGCAUUUGGAGAGUUGGUACGGGAACACAUAUCAAUAUUUGGCAAGACCCGUGGAUACCUUCGAGUGAGUCCAGGAAAAUUAUAACACCGCGGGGUGCCACAAUGUUGACAAAAGUGGAAGAACUAAUUGACCCACAUACCGGACAGUGGGAUGAGGUACUGAUCCGUGAUGUUUUUUGGCCGGUGGAUGUGUACAGAAUACUAGAAAUUCCACUCAGAGUGCAUGUUAUGGAGGACUUUGUAUCAUGGCACUAUAAUCAGACUGGAAGCUUUACUGUAAGAUCG